GCCAGGCAUGGUAGUGCAUGCCUGUAAUCCCCUGGGCUCAGGAGGCUGAGGCAGGAGGAUCACGAGUUCAAAGCCAGCCUCAGCAAAAGUGAGGUGCUAAGCAACUCAGUGAGACCCUGUCUCUA
RNAcentral lists this small RNA (125 nucleotides) under Marmota monax (woodchuck). Lineage: Eukaryota; Metazoa; Chordata; Mammalia; Rodentia; Sciuridae. The record is from RNAcentral.